Molecule: ribosomal RNA, 450 nt
Filed under: uncultured bacterium
Lineage: Bacteria
Description: partial 16S ribosomal RNA
Rfam family: Bacterial small subunit ribosomal RNA
Source: RNAcentral
CCUACGGGUGGCUGCAGUGGGGAAUCUUGCGCAAUGGACGAAAGUCUGACGCAGCGACGCCGCGUGGGUGAUGAAGGCCUUCGGGUUGUAAAGCCCUGUGGGGAGAGAAGAAUAAGUGCGGGCUAAUACCCCGCAUGAUGACGGUAUCUCCUUAGCAAGCACCGGCUAACUCUGUGCCAGCAGCCGCGGUACGACAGAGGGUGCAAACGUUGGUCGGAAUUACUGGGCGUCGGGCUGAUAAAGGCGGUGGGAAAGCCCCGGGCGCAACCCGGGAAGUGCACUCGAUACUGUUAGGCUAGAGUACUGGAGAGGUUGGUGGAAUUCUCGGUGUAGAGGUGAAAGUCGUAGAUAUCGAGAGGAACACCGGUGGCGAAGGCGGCCAACUGGACAGAUACUGACGCUGAGACACGAAAGCGUGGGGAGCAAACAGGAUUAGAUACCCCGGUAGUC